This 2886-nucleotide unclassified non-coding RNA is filed under the name Hevea brasiliensis (rubber tree). The record is from RNAcentral. Lineage: Eukaryota; Viridiplantae; Streptophyta; Magnoliopsida; Malpighiales; Euphorbiaceae.
CAACCAUCCCAUUCAUCUUCAUCCCUCUGCAUUUCAAAUUUGGCUAAAACGGCAUCGUUGCUUUCCGUUUGCUCUGCGAUAAAAAAACAACCAUACACCUAAAAAAAAGAAAAACAAAAAAUCAUCUGGCCCCACGGUAAUCUUUAGCCACGUCUCUCUACCGCUUAUCUCCCGAAUCCUUAUCCUUAGCCCCUUGAACCAUCAGACACUACUUUGUCCUCUUUCUUCAAUUCUCUACCGCCUCUCUGCAACGCCCAUAUCUUUAUCUCAUUAUUCCCUUCUCCCCUUCAUCCUCUUAUUCUUAUAUUGUUCCAUUUCAUAUCUCUACUCUGCUGACUACGCCUUUCCUUUUGGGACUUCUAUCCUCUUCCCUCUUUGAAACCCUCGACUAAUCGCUGCGCUUAAAGCGUCUUUACCAUUUCGAUUUAAUCGAGGGUUUUCUUUCUUUCUUUCUGGUUUUUUCCUCGCUUUAAUUUAUCUGGGCUCUGUUUGGAUUGCUGGAUAUUUCCUUUUUUGCCGCUAUUUCAUUGGGGCGAAAGGCUAGAUGGCUUUGUGGUCGAUUUUAUUGGAGAUUUUGAACAGACCCACUCUUGGGGAUGCCCUGGCUGACCUCGUCAUAUUUAUGAUUCCUCUUUGGAUUGCGGUUAUUGUUGGGGUUCUAUUAGGAUGGGCAUGGAAGCCUAAAUGGGCCAAUUUGGGCAGAGUGAUGUUGGAUUCUUCAGUCGCCAAGGACUCCGAUAACACUGUAGCAUCACAGGCAUCGUCUUCGAUCCCCACCUUGAAUUUAUUUAAGAUUCAAUUGCCCAGUUUCAUCCCUUGGGUUGCUGACGAUGGGAUUCAAAAGGAGACUUCUUCUGCGCCGCCUAACAUGACUGAUGAUUGCAGUUCCUCACAGGUGCAAAAUGAUAAAUCCAGUAUGGUGAAUGAAGAUGAUUUAGAGCUUUUGUGUAAGCUUGUUGAGGAAAAAGAUGGAGGUCCUGCUUGGAUUCAGAUGAUGAAUCGUUCUAGUCCAACUAUGAGCUAUCAAGCUUGGCGGAGAGAUCCUGAGACUGGCCCUACGCAAUAUCGUACCAGAACUGUUUUUGAGGAUGCCACUCCUGAAAUGGUGAGGGACUUCUUUUGGGAUGACGAAUUUCGGUUGAAGUGGGACGACAUGGUUAUACAUGCUGCAAUUUUGGAGGAGUGCCCCACCACAGGAUCCAUGGUGGUCCAGUGGGUACGCAAGGUGGGAAUGUUAAUUUCUAGCUUUUAGUUUUUGCAUGAAAUGUUUGGUUGUGAUCUCUAGUGUGCUAAAUUUAUGUAUUUUCUUGGCACAGUUUCCCUUCUUUUGUAGCGAUAGAGAAUACAUCAUAGGCCGUCGAAUUUGGGAAUCUGGUCGAUUGUAUUACUGUAUUACAAAGGUAUGAGAAAGAUAACCUCUAGUUUCCUUCUUAUGUUGUUUUUUUAGCCUCUGGUAAUUGGAUAGGAAUUAAUUAGAGCAUUCUCAUAUUCUGUUGAUUAAACCUCAUUUUAGGAUUGAAGUAAUAUGACUUUGCUCUCUUAGCUAGAGUUAGAAAUAUUAAGAUUUAUGCCUUAGAAAUAUUAAGAUUUAUGUCUUUUUUUGUUGAUGGAGUAGCAGAAAUAAAUUAUUAAUGAAAGGAAAUUUACUAAUUGUUAUCCUAUUAAUUGCUCAAGGCACUUGGAUUGUGUAGGCCUUUAGCUCAAAAUUGUAUGCACCAUUGAAUUACAUGUUAUACUGACAAUAGAGGGAAUCGUUUGUGUUGGUACGGAUUGAAAUUCUAGUCUCAUUGUUAGAGUUCCUUUUUGCAUUAGGUGCUGGUAUUUGUUUAGGAUAAAAUUUCAUCAUUUUUGUUACUGUUUUCUUCAUAUCAUAUGGUUUUUGUUCGCCCAAAAUUUCUGUUCAGGAAGUAAGUUGUUGAUCUUUUAUUACAUUUCAGGGAGUUCCUUGCUCCUCUUUGCCAAGACGCAACAAACCAAGACGUGUGGAUUUGUACUAUUCAAGCUGGUGCAUUCGUGCAGUUGAAUCAAAAAGAGGGGAUGGCCAACUGACUGCAUGUGAGGUGCUACUUUUUCAUCAUGAAGAUAUGGGUAUUCCUUUGGAAAUUGCAAAGCUUGGAAUCCGGCAUGGUAUGUGGGGAGCAGUGAAGAAGAUCGAACCUAGUUUACGUGCAUAUCAGAAGCAAAGAGCAGCUGGAGAUCCACUCUCACGCUGUGCUUUCAUGGCUCAGAUCAACACCAAAGUGAGUGCAGACUACCUUAAAUGUUUGGAGAGCACUGCUAGUAGUCAUUCAUCAGAGGUUGAAAUCCAGGAUUCUUCUUCCAAGAAACCACGGGGAAACAUACAUAGGCUUUUGGUAGUUGGUGGGGCUAUUGCUCUUGCUUGUACUCUUGACCAGGGUCUCUUAACUAAGGCAGUUAUAUUUGGAGUAGCAAGGAGAUUUGCAAAAACUGGGAGGUUGUGAUCUGGAGAUUAUUUUGCAUCAUUGCUAUGAUGACAACCAAGUUUAUUGCUUCUGCAGUGAAUUGAGAAAUGGUUGGAGGAUGUUGAAUCUCCUAACUCCUCACCCUGAUUUGAAAUGGAUGGAAGUUUUGUGUUCAUUUUUCCUUAAGGUUGAGGUAUGGUGUGGCUUUAGAUCUGAAAAAUAGAAAAGAUCAUACAGCUGUAUUCAUGAAAUUUAGCAAUGUGAUGAAAGAAUCUCAAUAAUUUGUCGCCAAUAAUUUGAAUAAAUGAAAGGCAAACAUGUUCCUCCAAUUCAAAAUUUUGUUUGGGAAUUGGAAGUGUUUAGGUCAGAAACGAGGUGAAUUAAGCAACUAGUUUCUGUUAAUAUAAUAAUUUUGGUACAAGUUAAGUUGGACUAAUAAUGAAAAUUGCAGCCGUUUACCAUC